AGGAUAUUUCAGUUUUGAUUAUAUGGCUGUGAAUACUGGGACAGAUUUUUCCUUUAUGAGCACCGGAGCCGUGAGUAUCUCUUUUGUGUAAUUGCCCUAACGUUUUCAUGUCUCCAGCCAUCAUUAUAGUCAUGCACUCCUUGAGUAUGUCUGUAAACAGGGCCAGUGCAAGGAUUAUUGCUGCACUAGGAAAAAAAAAAUUGCCGCCACAUUUGCUCCACAGUGGUCCUGUAGGUUUAACCCCACAAGAUAAAACAUUGCCUUACCUUGAAGGGUUAAACAAAACUCUAGUAGCUGUCACAGUGACAACCACUAGAGACACCUCCA
Molecule: non-coding RNA, 327 nt
Organism: Pelobates cultripes (western spadefoot toad)
Lineage: Eukaryota; Metazoa; Chordata; Amphibia; Anura; Pelobatidae
Source: the annotation of a GenBank genome assembly